AACGAACGCUGGCGGCAUGCCUAACACAUGCAAGUCGAACGAGACCUUCGGGUCUAGUGGCGCACGGGUGCGUAACGCGUGGGAACCUGCCCUUAGGUUCGGAAUAACUCCCCGAAAGGGGUGCUAAUACCGGAUAAUGUCUUCGGACCAAAGAUUUAUCGCCUUUGGUUGGGCCCGCGUUGGAUUAGCUAGUUGGUAGGGUAAAAGCCUACCAAGGCGACGAUCCAUAGCUGGUCUGAGAGGAUGAUCAGCCACACUGGGACUGAGACACGGCCCAGACUCCUACGGGAGGCAGCAGUGGGGAAUAUUGGACAAUGGGCGAAAGCCUGAUCCAGCAAGGCCGCGUGAGUGAUGAAGGCCUUAGGGUUGUAAAGCUCUUUUACCCGGGAUGAUAAUGACAGUACCGGGAGAAUAAGCUCCGGCUAACUCCGUG
This 433-nucleotide ribosomal RNA is filed under the name uncultured bacterium. Its description in RNAcentral is "partial 16S ribosomal RNA". It matches the Rfam family "Bacterial small subunit ribosomal RNA", at positions 29 to 507 of the family's 1533-position model. The record is from RNAcentral.